Lupinus angustifolius (narrow-leaved blue lupine) is the source of this 118-nucleotide non-coding RNA. The record is from Rfam. NCBI's taxonomy places the organism in Eukaryota, Viridiplantae, Streptophyta, Magnoliopsida, Fabales, Fabaceae.
AGGUGCGAUCAUACCAGCACUAAUGCACCGGAUCCCAUCAGAACACCGCAGUUAAGCGCGCUUGUGCGAGAGUAGUACUAGGGUGGGUGAGCUCCUAGGUUUGGCUCAUGUUCGACUA